AGAUGCUGCAUCGAUAGCAGUUAGACCAUGACGCGUAGGAGAAGGCCGCAAUGGAAGGGUCUGUGAGUGUCAUUUUUUAAACAUUUUCAAGCCAUAGUUACUUUGAAUUCUGGAAUCAGACUCCUCAGAUAGGACAGGCUAUCAGCACCGCAGCAAGACAAGCUGAUUUCUCGAGGCACUGAAGGCCAGGGGAAAUUCUGGCCAUGAAGUAGUAAAAUGACUAACGUGUCACUAUUCUGUAAGGAAACCAAUCACAGAACCCCCAAACCAACUAAGAAAUGAAAACCAGCCUAUUGGCAAACUGCCUCCAAUGAGAAGUCCACCGGAAAAUGUCCAUUCAUCCUAUACAAAGGCACUCAUUUGUUUGAUAACUCACCAUGCUCCUUGGGAAUAAAGAGGCACAGUCUAUGAUACCCGGGUUGUAUGAGGAAAAUCUCAAAGGCAUGAUGCUGAGCAGAAGAACCCAGUCUCGAAAAGCUAAAUGAUGCACAGUUCCACUUCCAUGAUCGUCUUAAAAAGACAAAAAUCACAAAACUCAGAAACUACAGUGAUGGGAAGGUAAGCAGUGGUUGCCAAGACAUGGGUAACAAGAACAGAAGUGGGCUGACUCCAGAGGGAUUGUGUGAAGUGGGGGCAGCUGAGGGAACUGGGAACUGCGACUUACUUCGUUUUUACCGUACAAGGAUUAAAACUGGCAAUACUAUAAAGCCCAGAGUUUUUAUUUGUUCAUCUUCCAAAUUAUAUUUAAAGGCUUGUGUGCAUGAGAGAAAGAUGUGAGAGAGAGAGAGAGAGAAAAGGAGAGAGAGAGAGAAGAGAAGAGAAGAGAAGAGAAGAGAAGAGAAGAGAAGAGAAGAGAAGAGAGAAGAGAAGAGAAGAGACACAGAUGGACAGACACAGACAGACAGACAGACAUAGACAACUGAGAAGAUUCUCAAGGUGCCUAGCCUCCCAAACAGCACAACACAGAAACCUGCAGAGAGUUACCUGGUGCUUUCAAAGCAGCAUGCUCCAUUGGCACAACAGUUUGUUGCUUCUGCCCAGUAUGGUGGAAGAGGAAUGUAAGGAGCCACACAUCACUAUAUCCAGAAGAUGAUCAAAAUUCACAUUAUAGUUUCCACUGAACAUAUAUUGUCACAGUGUGUCGUAGAGUCAAAAAAAAAAAAACUCAAAGUAAAAUCGCCACAAUGUUGGGGGUGGUCUGCACAGUCUUAGGUAGCUAGAGCCAGGCCCCUGGUCCUCUCUGGAGGGAAUUUGUUUGUUUUCGUAUGCUCAUGCAGUAAAAUUCUAACUUUCAGGGGGACCUAAGCUAAACUAAGAGGUUCUGAUCACAGGGACCUAAACUAAUGAGGAGAAACUGUGCCGAGAAGCACUAUAAAAUGUCAACACAGUAAAAUCCAACAUUAUCUGACCCUGUGGCCAGCCCCAGAGAGAAGCCAAGAAUCCACAACCCUUCCCAGGUUUGAAACGCUCUUCUGAUAGUUGGUUAACCCCCUGUAUUAUUGCUUAGCAUUGCUGUGAUCUGAGUGUGGUCACACUGGCUCCCAGGAGUCCUUGUGAUAGAUACCUGGUCCUCAGAGAUCUAUGGGACUUUGAAGGGGCUGUUUUGUUUUGUUUUGUUUUGUUGAGACACUGCAUUGCCAAAUUGCUCAGGUUGGCCUCAAACUUUCAGCCAUCCUGCCUCAGCCGCCUAUGUGUUAUGACUGUUGACUCAUGCCACUGACCUGGCUUUAUGGUAGUUUCUUGACGAAAGGUAAGGCCUAUUCAGUUUGAAGGAUCAGAGUCAAGACGUCAUAGUGAUGAAAGUCUAGCCACAUCUGCAGCUCAUCUUUGACUACUAGGCAAAGGGGGGAACUCAACAAGUCGAGGCUAAAGCAGCAGUCAUAGGAAGCCACACAGACAGAUGUCAGCAGCUGCAUAGCACUGAGGAGCCAAAGCUUCCCGUGUAAGUUAAAUGUCUCCUGGAGCAAAUCCAAAGGUCUCCAAGCAACACAAAGACGACUCACACAAUAUAUCUUCUUUUCUAAUAUUAA
RNAcentral lists this long non-coding RNA (2030 nucleotides) under Mus musculus (house mouse). Its description in RNAcentral is "predicted gene 16158 (Gm16158)". The record is from RNAcentral. Lineage: Eukaryota; Metazoa; Chordata; Mammalia; Rodentia; Muridae.